Molecule: non-coding RNA, 348 nt
Organism: Nerophis lumbriciformis (worm pipefish)
Lineage: Eukaryota; Metazoa; Chordata; Actinopteri; Syngnathiformes; Syngnathidae
Source: RefSeq, a predicted model, not a curated record
CACAUUGUUGGGGGGACAAUUAAUAUGUGACGGAAUAAGGGAAGCAGCAUGAGACAGCAAGUAUUUGAUGGAAGAGGUUAAUGAGUUCUGACGGCAUUAUUUUGGCAUCGUUGUUAACGAGAAGAAGGCGUGGCUGAAUUAAAUGUCUGUGGGAGAAGAAGGAACAACUUGAGCCUUGAUUAAGACCUCGGAGGGAAUAACAGUAACUAAAAGUCUCUUCACAAGUUCUCUUUGGUGGACCUCUGGCCGCGUCCUGAAAAGUCCCUACAUGAUGAACGUCUGACCCAGGAUCUUGCGGUUGAUCUCUGCCAACGCCACGGAAAAGACGGCCUUCUUGUCUGCUUCGAU